Mus musculus (house mouse) is the source of this 4497-nucleotide RNA transcript. It is a transcript of the gene named COMM domain containing 7, with no coding region annotated. Lineage: Eukaryota; Metazoa; Chordata; Mammalia; Rodentia; Muridae. The record is from RefSeq and is marked validated. The transcript has 8 exons.
UGCGCUGUCACGAGAACCGCGGCUGGGAGUGUGGCGAAAGUGCGGCUGCGGAAGCGCAGCGAGACCCGGGUGGAGGAAGCGAGCGUCGCUGCCCGGUUGCGGGGUUCCUGGCACCAUGGGCCGCCUGCACUGCACGCAGGACCCGGUGCCCGAGGCCGUGCGCGGAGACAUGCAGCAGCUGAACCAGCUGGGCGCUCAGCAGUUCUCCGACCUGACAGAAGUGCUUUUCCAUUUCCUAACUGAGCCCAAAGAGGUGGAGCGAUUUCUGGCUCAGCUCUCUGAAUUUGCCACCAGCAAUCAGAUCAGUCUUGGCCCCCUCAAAAGCAUCAUGAAAAGCCUCCUACUGGUUCCAAAUGGUGCACUGAAGAAAGGCCUCACUGCCGAGCAGGUGCGGACUGAUCUCCAGACGCUAGGUCUUAGCGAGGAGAAAGCCACUUACUUUUCUGAAAAGUGGAAGCAGAACGCCUCGACCCUUGCACAGUGGGCCAUGGGUCAGACCCUGAUGGUUAACCAGCUGAUUGAUAUGGAGUGGAGGUUUGGAGUGACGUCUGGGAGCAGUGAAUUAGAGAAAGUGGGAAGCAUAUUUUUACAGGUAAGUCUGUGGUCAGUGGCGAUGGGCAGGGUUUCAACCUGGUUAAAGGUUAUCCAAAGCUGGGCAUGGUGGCACAGGCUUAUAAACCCCCGAAAUCAAGAGGUUCGAACAUCAAAAGUUCAAGGUCAGUUUGGGCUUUGUGAGCCACUUUCUUGAAUUGUCUUGGUUUUGGUUUUUUGGUGGUGGUGGUGGUGGUGGUGUUUUGGUUUUUCAAGACAGGGUUUCUCUUGGGUAGUUCUUGGUGAGGUUCUCUUGGAACUCACUCUGUAGACCAGGCUGGCCUUGAACUCAGAAAUCCGCCUGCCUCUGCCUCCCGAGUGCUGGGAUUAAAGGCGUGCGCCACCACGCCCAGCUUGGUUUUUGUUCUAGUCAGUAUUCUAGCUGUGGAGACACCCUAACCGAGGCAGCUCAUAUAAGAACACAUUUAACUGAGGGCUCGCUCACAAGUUUCUCAUCGACAGUUAUCAUCAUGUCACUGUACAGGCAGAUGGAGUGCUGGAGGGGUAGCUGAGAAUGCUACAUCCUCGUCUAUAGGCCACAGGGAGAGAAAAAUGAGGCGGGAGGAGGGAAGGAGAGAGAGCAGACCCACUCUCAACAAGGUCAUAGCUCCUAGUCCUCCUAAUACUAUCAAAGUGUUGCACUUCUGCGACAAAGCAUUCGAAUAUAUGGGUCAGUGGCAGCCAUUUUCUUUCAAACCACUACAGGUUUGAUAUUGUCUUAAGUGAUAUUCCCCCCCUAAAGUGCCCUUUGUACCUCAGAACAGUGUGAUCAGCCGAGAGCAUGAUCCCCAACUCGCCUGCCUUCAGAUGAGCUCGUUUUGUUGUUAGCCACGCAAGUUCAGUUACUUCACAGGGCUGGGGACUGCCAGGAUUUCUUACCUUGGACAAUUCAGUCCACGUCAUAUAGCUGCUAAGAUAGAAGAAGCCCAGGACGGGGCUGGUAGGUAGCUUGGCGGGUGGGACGUUUUGGAACUUAAUUAGAUGAAAGGUUUGGAGGAAUUUCUUUUCUCAGCUGUCAUUUAAACGGUGCUAUUAUUAUUAUUGUUGUUGUUAUUAUUAUUAUUUAUUGUGUGAGAGAGAGAGAAAUGACGCGUCGUGGAUGUGGAGGUCAGAGGACAGCUUGCUGGAGUUGGUUCUCUUCUCCCACCUUUAUGUGGGUUCUGGGGGGACAAACCUGGGUCACCAGGCUACACACUGGGCCAUCUUGCUGGCCCAUCAUUUUAAUUUUAAAGUUAUUUAUUUAUCUUCUCCACCUUCUUCUCCCCUUUCCUUUUAGUUAAAGUUGGUGGUUAAGAAAGGAAAACAAACUGAAAAUUUGUAUAUGGAACUAACCUUGCCCCAGUUCUACAGCUUCCUGCACGAGAUGGAGAGAGUCCGAGCGAGCAUGGAGUGCCUCAGCUGACCCUGUUCCCGUUCCCUUGCCCCUGCCUCUUCCCUAGUGUCAGCCUACUCCAGGCUCCCAGCUGCCUUGAGAGGCCGCGGACAAAGAGCUUCUAAAACCAAGAGUCUCAGCGCUUGAGGAGUGCUGCCUGAUUCUUCUGCAAGCCCCACUGGGAGCCACCACCUCCGGCUCCUGGGUGACUUUACACCUAGAUGCUCCGAGAGCUACUGCAUCUGGGACUGUGUCCUUUCUCUGGGAGGCAGUCUUGUCACCUCCCAUCCAACAGUUCACAAACGGCUCAGUUCCUUCAUUCAGAUGGUUGGGUACGUGCUUGUGGCUGAGGAAGGGCGGGUGGUGUGGACAGUGUGUCAGGAGUGGUGUCACACGUGUCACACUGUUUGGAGGGGGAAGGGCAUUGCCAGCCACUGUCUGCCGAGUCGUCUGUGUAAAAGCCUGUGCUUAGUCUUCUCUGGAAAGAACUGAGGCCAGACGAUUUCUGUGUUUGUCUCUUUGGCUUUUGUGUUAUAAGGAGGCAGGCCUUUCGAGGCCAUCUUACAUUGUUUGGUUCCAGAAAACCAACCACCUUUUGGUUAAGUGGUAAAUUAAAAAGAAAAACAGUUUCUAAAGAAAAGCUCUGAAUCCACAAAAUGUCUUUCUCCAUGGUUUAAGAGUCAGCCGACCUGGGUGUAGCGGCAUAUACCUACAACCUUGGCCCUGCGGAGACAGAGACGGGAAGAUCACCAUAAGCUAGAGGUUAGCCAGAGCAGCAAAGUGAGAGCCUGUCUCAAACCAAGCCAGCCAUGGGGGCGAGACUGACGGCUCUGUGGUUAAGAGUGCUUCCUGCUCUUUGGGGAGUCCCUGGUUGCUCUGUUCACAGCAUCCACUUCUGGAAGCUCACAACAGCCUGUAACUCCAACCUCACAUCUUCUUAUCCAAGAGCAGGCAUACACAUGCCAUGAGUAUACACAUACACAUAUACACUCUGACACACAUUCAUUCAAUAAUGCAAAUGAAAUAAAUCUUCUUUAAAAGGCCACAGGGGGGCUGGUGAGAUGGCUCAGUGGGUAAGAGCACCCGACUGCUCUUCUGAAGGUCCCGAGUUCAAAUCCCAGCAACCACAUGGUGGCUCAUAAAAGGCCACAGGGUGUGGCAUAGCUCAGUUGGGAAAGUGUUUGCCUAACAUGCAUAAAACCUGGCGUGGGUUAUGUGGCCCCUUGUCUCAAAAGAAUAAAACCAGGGCCAGUGAGAUGACUUAGCAGGUAAAUACACCUACCCCGAUGCCCGAGUUCAACUCCCAGGAUCCACUUGGUGGAAGGAGACCACUGAUCCCCACAGGUGUAGUCUAACCUGUACACACCCGUGCACACCCAAGCAUGCCUACUAAGUAAAGACAUCAAAUUAAUAUAAAUAUCUUAAUUUUAGAUUUGGUUUUCAUGGUACACCUAUAAUAGCUUACAACCCUCUGUAAGUCCAGCUUCAGGGAAUUUAAUGCCUCUGGCCUCCAUGGAUACCUGCGCAAAUGCUCAUAAUUAAAGAUAAUAAAUCUCUAGCCUGAUUGCUUAAAUAUUCCGUUAAAAUUCUCUCUUUGGACCAUAGCUAAUCUCAUAAGAGAACUAGGGGCUUUCACCAAAAAGAGAAUGGUAACUUGUUGUUUGAAAAAGAAUGUAGUUAAGGCAUUUCUGGAUGGCUUGGUGCUCACUGUAUACCCAGGGCUGUCCUCAAACUCAUGACAAUCCUACCUUGCCCUCCAACAAAUGAGUGCUGGGAUUACAGGCAUGGACUCCACGCCUACUCUUUACAAGGGACCAAAUACAGGGCUUUCCUGCAUGUUAAGCAAAACACAGCUGUGUUCCCAGCCCAUAAAAGUUUUGUUGUUCUCACAUUUAUUUAUGUGGAGUUGGCUGAGUCAUGUUUAGGGCCUUGUGGAUUCAAGACAACCUUCAGGAUGUGCACUCUUCCUUCCAUCCAGCCGUCCGCAGCAGGAUAGGUCUGAGUAGACGUGAGGACCCCUUCCCACCUUUUUUUUUUUUAAAGAUUUAUUUAUUAUUAUACAUAAGUACACUGUAGCUGUUUUCAGACACACAGAAGAGGGCGUCAGAUCUCAUUAUGGAUGGUUGUGAGCCACCAUGUAGUUGCUGGGAUUUGAACUCAGAACCUUUGGAAGAGCAGUCAGUGCUCCUACCUGCUGAACCAUCUCACCAGCCCCCCUUCCCACCUUUUUCUAGCUAUUCACUGGAGGAGAUCUGCUAGUUCAUUCUGUAUUCUGGAGCUAUUUCUUGCAUUUGAAUCUAUGUGCAUAUCUUCUGUGUGUACUAUCUCACACAGACAGCAGCGUGUAUAAACACCAACCUGCACCUUGUUUUUUCCAGUUCACAUGGAGAUCUCUCUUUAUCAAAAGCAAGAGCCGCCUCAGCCUUUGCUUCCCCCAGUGAUUGAUCGGACCAGUUUCCUGCUGGUUUGAUACAAGGUCUUUUUGUAACACCCUGGAUGCUCUGAAAUUUGAAGAUUAAAGAUCUUCACCACCA